This 301-nucleotide ribosomal RNA is filed under the name uncultured bacterium. RNAcentral describes it as "partial 16S ribosomal RNA". It matches the Rfam family "Bacterial small subunit ribosomal RNA", at positions 509 to 807 of the family's 1533-position model. The record is from RNAcentral.
CAGUAGCCGCGGUAAUACGUAGGUGGCAAGCGUUGUCCGGAAUUAUUGGGCGUAAAGGGCUCGCAGGCGGUUUCUUAAGUCUGAUGUGAAAGCCCCCGGCUCAACCGGGGAGGGUCAUUGGAAACUGGGAAACUUGAGUGCAGAAGAGGAGAGUGGAAUUCCACGUGUAGCGGUGAAAUGCGUAGAGAUAUGGAGGAACACCAGUGGCGAAGGCGACUCUCUGGUCUGUAACUGACGCUGAGGAGCGAAAGCGUGGGAAGCGAACAGGAUUAGAUACCCCUGUAGUCCCUGUCUCUUAUAC